UUCCUACGGGGGGCAGCAGUGAGGAAUAUUGGUCAAUGGGCUUACGCCUGAACCAGCCAAGUCGCGUGAGGGAAGACUGCCCUAUGGGUUGUAAACCUCUUUUGUCAGGGAGCAAUUGGCGCUACGUGUAGCGUUAUCGAGAGUACCUGAAGAAAAAGCAUCGGCUAACUCCGUGCCAGCAGCCGCGGUAAUACGGAGGAUGCGAGCGUUAUCCGGAUUUAUUGGGUUUAAAGGGUGCGCAGGCGGGAGAUCAAGUCAGCG
This 261-nucleotide ribosomal RNA is filed under the name uncultured bacterium. RNAcentral's name for it is "partial 16S ribosomal RNA". It matches the Rfam family "Bacterial small subunit ribosomal RNA", at positions 336 to 593 of the family's 1533-position model. The record is from RNAcentral.